UAUUCAGAAGGCAAAUUGCAUGACAAUUGCUGUGAGAAGGAAGAGCAGCAAGUAUGGAGGAUAUCUCAUUACUACUAAGCGUCAUAAGAACUUUUGGCUUUUGGCAUAGAUAAAUUUAAUCUACCUUUUUAACAACAGUAUAAUUCCACAAAGUGGAGGAUGGUGUGUACGUAUGUAGCCUUACUCCUCCCUCGUGAAGGUAGAG
RNAcentral lists this unclassified non-coding RNA (205 nucleotides) under Hevea brasiliensis (rubber tree). Lineage: Eukaryota; Viridiplantae; Streptophyta; Magnoliopsida; Malpighiales; Euphorbiaceae. The record is from RNAcentral.